AGUGAACGCUGGCGGUAGGCCUAACACAUGCAAGUCGAACGGCAGCACAGUAAGAGCUUGCUCUUACGGGUGGCGAGUGGCGGACGGGUGAGGAAUACAUCGGAAUCUACUUUUUCGUGGGGGAUAACGUAGGGAAACUUACGCUAAUACCGCAUACGACCUACGGGUGAAAGCAGGGGAUCUUCGGACCUUGCGCGAUUGAAUGAGCCGAUGUCGGAUUAGCUAGUUGACGGGGUAAAGGCCCACCAAGGCGACGAUCCGUAGCUGGUCUGAGAGGAUGAUCAGGCACAAUGGAACUGAGACACGGUCCAGACUCCUAAGGGAGGCAGCAGUGGGGAAUAUUGGACAAUGGGCGCAAGCCUGAUCCAGCCAUACCGCGUGGGUGAAGAAGGCCUUCGGGUUGUAAAGCCCUUUUGUUGGGAAAGAAAAGCAGCAGGUUAAUACCCCGCUGUUCUGACGGUACCCAAAGAAUAAGCACCGGCUAACUUCGUG
Molecule: ribosomal RNA, 492 nt
Filed under: uncultured bacterium
Lineage: Bacteria
Description: partial 16S ribosomal RNA
Rfam family: Bacterial small subunit ribosomal RNA
Source: RNAcentral